GACGAAAGCUGGGGGCACGAACCGGAUUAGAUACCCGGGUAGUCCCAGCUGUAAACGAUGCUCGUUAGGUGUCAGGAACGGUGCGACUGUUUCUGGUGCCGAAGGGAAGCCGUGAAACGAGCCACCUGGGAAGUACGGCCGCAAGGCUGAAACUUAAAGGAAUUGGCGGGGGAGCACUACAACGGGUGGAGCCUGCGGUUUAAUUGGACUCAACGCCGGAAAACUCACCGGGGGUGACAGCAAUAUGUAGGUCAGGUUAAAGGUCUUACCUGAAUCGCUGAGAGGAGGUGCAUGGCCGUCGUCAGUUCGUACUGUGAAGCAUCCUGUUAAGUCAGGCAACGAGCAAGACCCGUGCCCACUGUUACCAGCAUAUCCUUUAUGGAUGAUGGGGACUCUGUGGGGACCGCUGCUGCUAAAGCAGAGGAAGGUGCGGGCUACGGUAGGUCAGUAUGCCCCGAAUCUCCCGGGCUACACGCGGGCUACAAUGGUUGGGACAAUGGGCAUCUACUCCGAAAGGAGUUGGCAAUCUCUUAAACCCAAUCGUAGUUCGAAUUGAGGGCUGUAACUCGCCCUCAUGAAGCUGGAAUCCGUAGUAAUCGCGUUUCAACAUAGCG
Molecule: ribosomal RNA, 614 nt
Filed under: uncultured archaeon
Lineage: Archaea
Description: bacterial SSU rRNA
Rfam family: Archaeal small subunit ribosomal RNA
Source: RNAcentral